UCUCAUCUUGCAUUCUACAUAUACAAAAUAAUGAAAAUAAAAAAUCACAAUAUAAACAAACCAUCAAUAUAAACAAACCAUCAAUAAAAACAAACCAAUAAAAACUCACAAUAUAAACAAACCAUCAAUAUAAACAAACUGUCACGGCCCGUCCCGGAAUUUUUAAUUCCGAGGACGUGAAAUUACAAAAGUGACCUUAAACGGGAUUAAGGUGCGUAAAUUCGACAUUUAGUUUUACCUAAAGUUCCUAAACUAUUGUUAAUUAGAUUAUUACCUAGUGUUAGGAACUUAAACUAAGACUUGGAUUUACAAUUGUAUGUUUUAAUUUGGUCAGUUAGAGGUUUAGGUAGGGCCUCAUGCCCUGAUUCCCUCCCCAUUUCCCGUAUUCACUCUCUCUCUCUUCCUCAGACCUUCUCUCUCUCUCUCUCACCCUCUCGAACACACGGGCAACCACCAAAACCACCUAAAAUCAACACCAACGCCGGAUUUAAAACCACCAUUGCACUCCUGAUGUCACAGCCCGUCCGGAAUUUUAAUUUCGAGGACGUGAAAAGACGAAAAUGCCCUUAAAUGGGACUAAGGGGCGAAAAUUUAACGAUUGGUUUUACUUAAAGUUCCUAAGUUAUUUGGUUUUAGGAACUUAAACUAGGCUUAAGUUUGGAUUUUUAUGUGGGAAUUUAUGAAAUUGGGAUUGGGUUGGACACGUGGGAUCCCCACACCUCAAAACCCUCCCCAUAACCCGUAACAUUGUCUCACUCUCUCUCUCCUCCCUCACGAAACUCUCAGUUCUCUCUCCCUCUCCUUCGAACUCACACGGACAAGCUCCAAAACCACCCUAAACUUCUACCAACGACGGAGUUAAGACCACCAUCGAACUCCUGGAACCUCCACGAUCACGUAGACACCAAUUUCAGGUAAGUUUUACUUCGGAAAACCUAGAUUCUAAACUCCCCGUGAAAGUGUACUGUUCAUGAGCUUUGAAUUGGUUGUGUUUUAGGCCAAACUAAGCUCACAGUGAGCUUUAGGAAGUCCCAAGGAAGCUCGGAGUAUGUUGUUUGGAAGUUUUGGACGUCGGGAUCACCACGUUCAAAGUUGGCCGGUUCUUGUGGAAUUUUCCGGUAAGAUUUCGUAGUUUUUAGAGCUUUAAAGUAGUAUAUUAUGAUUCUACAUGUUGAGGGCUUCAAUUUGAUAUAUUAUACGAAGAAAAUGGUUGAGAAACGAAGGAGAACGAAGCAUUUGAAAAUUCUCCAGUUUUCCGGUCGUCGGAAAAACCAGUCCGGCGAACCAAGGUUGGGGAUGAUGCGCGUGGGGGCGCGUGUCCCCGUGCUUGUCCUGGCGCGUGGGGGCGCGUGGCACAUCAAAAAAAUAAUCUAAAAAUAUGUCGACGUUCGUGACGUCGAGUGGAUCACUUUGGUAUAUUCAUAUACCCAAAUUGAGCACCGUAUGAGAAAGUUAUUAAGGAUUGUUGGUUAGGUGUUCAAAUAACGUUUUAUAAUUUUCGCAUUAGGUGAAAAUGUGAAUUGAUGAUCCGACCGUUGGAUCGUCACCAAAAUUUGAUACGUUGUAAUACGUAAUAUUUGAGGAUUAUAGGAACUUACGGAUUGGGAAUCCGAUUUACGGAUCUUCCGGAAUUUGAGUUGUAAGUUCAUAAAAUAGAAUGUAAACAGUCACUUAGUUUUGUUAAUUGACGGAGAUCUGACCGUUGGAUGGUGAUGAAAUUUUAGGAUGUUGUCCUAGAGAUAUAUUGUGGACCUCUGGAAGUUAUGGAUUUAAAAUCUGAGUGGCAGAUCUUCCGGAUCGAUCUACGUAGUGACGUAUUUUAUAUAAGUUAUAUAUUCUAUCGAUAUGAAUUCUGAGGUUGGAUUUGAUUACUGUUCUAGGCGGCAAUCGUCAUGACGCCUUGGCGUAUUGUGCUAGGGAGUUGUAGGACGAACUCCAGGUGAGUGGGCAGUUUUGUUUUCCGUAUAUAUAUAUACUUGACGUUUUCCCAGAAAUUGAAUUAGAAUGAAAUUAUGUUUUAAAUGAAAGGUAUAUAGAAUUAUAUGAAAACGUGAAUUGAAAGGUCAUGCAUAGAAGUAUAUGAAAUAUAUAUGGAAAUGUAAAUUGAAUUGCCAUGCAUGAAAUGAUAUGAAUCAAAUGAUAUGAAUUGUUAUAUGAUGCAUAUGAAUGAAUGGUGCGGCGGACGCACAUGUGAGUAUCAGGUGAGUAUUUAAAUACUGUUAUGAUGAUGUUGAUAUAUAUUGAGCUCAAAUCCUGCACCAUGGUUUAGUGCUUAUAGUAUUCACCGCAUCGCACGCUCGCCUUGGAUCCAAGUAGAUGCUGGUCGCAUAGUCCACGCGGAGUGGGUGCGACGGGCCAGUCGAAGAGUGUUAGUGAGAUUUCGACUGGUGGGUGACCUUAGAUUAUGUGCACAGAUGAUUAAUGAGAAAGCACUAGAGCAUAACUUGUGUGCAGAAGGCCGUACAGGUCACAGAGGUGACUCCGGCAGAGUGAGAGUGAUAGAUUUUGAGCUCUAGGUUCAACCGUUCAGGGCUAUUAGAGGGCCUCCGGUUGAUUACUUCUUGCACCUGAUAUAAUUAUUGUUGAUGCAUUCAUAUUAUACUGUUGAAUUUAGACAUGGCAUGGCAUAAUUGUAAUGAAAAAUGUUGAGAUAGUGAUUUGAAGUUUUGAGAUUAUAUAUGUAUAUUUAUAUUUUACAUUUCUGGGAAAGUAUACAAGUUUUACGGAGAGGGGUUACAACGUUUGCGAAAUGUUUGGAUUUGGAAAAGAAUUGUUUUACUGACCCACUCAAUUUUGGUUUUGCGCCCCUCCAGGUUCAGGAAUCACAAAGGUGUGGUGACUACGAGGAAUUCGACGGUGUUCUGACAGAUUGGACAAAAUUAGGACUCACCUUCGGGUGUAUCAACUUAUAAAUUGUAUCUUAAAGCUUCCGUACUGUGCAAAUGGUUACGUCACUCUCACGUGAUGGCCAGCAUGCCCUCCUUCGGGACGGGGUGUGUCACCUGAGGACUCCACGAUCACGUAGGUACCAGUUUAAAGUGAGUUUCAUUUCGAAAACCCUAGUUUCUAAAGACACCGUGAUUAUGUACUGUUCAUGAUCUUUGAAGUGGUUGUGUUUUAGGCCAAACUAAGAUCACAGUGAGCUUUAGGAAGUCCCAAGGAAGCUCGGAGUGGGUUGUUUGGAAGUUUUGGACGUCGGAAUCACUUGGUUCGACGUUUAGCCGAUUUCUCGAAAUUUUGGAAGGUAUGAUUCCGUGGUUUUUAGUGUUUAAAACCCUUCCAACGUGAUUGUACAUGUUAAAUGCUUCAAUUUGGUAUAAAAUUCGAGAAAAAUGGACGAAAAACGAGUGAGAAUAGUUAAAUAGAAAUUUUUCCCAGUUUUCUGGUGACCGGAGUUCGGCGAGAGUCCAUCGGAGAAGAAACUGGAAUAUUCCGUUAGUUCUAACGGAAUAUUCCUGACGCCGUUAACGGAACUGUUAGGUUUUAACGGAAUAUUCUCGGAAUAUUCCUGACGCCGUCAGUGUGCAACGCACGUGGCUGCGCGUGGGGGGCGCGUAGGUCCGUGCCAUUUCAGGCGCGUGGGGGCGCGUGAAGGGUCCAAAAAUUAUUUUAAAAAUAUGGGGAUGAUCCUGAGGUUGUGUAGGUCACCGUGGUAUAUUCAUAUACCCAAUUUGAGCAACAUAUGAGGAGUUAUUAGCUAAGAGUUGGGUUAUGCGUUAAAUAACGUUAUUUCGGGUACUUCUUGUAUAGGUGAGACUUAUAGCGAGGAGGAGCACAUCCAGGGGCGUCAAAGGGGUUACGACCCGGCAACAUACCAGUGAGUGGGCAUUGCUUUCUAUAUAUAUACCUAUAUACCCGAUUUCCCCAGAAAUCAAUUUAAAUGAAAAGUAUGUUGAAUUGUGAUAUGGAAUAUAGUUUGGGUUGCCAUGCUUAGAAUAUCAUGAAUAUUAUGAAUUGUUGUAUGAUGCAUAUAUGUGAAAUGGUGCGGUGGACGCACAGGUGAGUAUCAGGUGAGUAUUAUUACUGUUAUGAUGAUGUUGAGAUAUGUUGAGCUCAUAAACUGCACCUUGGUAUUAGUGCUUAUAUUAUUCACCCUGCAUCGUAUGCUCACCUUGGAUCCAAGUAGAUGCUAGUCGUACAGACCACCGGGGGUGGUUCCGACAUGCCAGUCGUACAGACCAUUAGAGGGGUUCCGACUGGUAGGUGACCUUAGAUUAUGUGCACAAAUGAUUGAUGAGAAAAGCACUAGAGCAUAUUAUUACACCAUUAAGUCGUACAGAUUACAUUAGGUAAUUCCGACUUAUGUGCAGUGUAGUGCCGUACAGGUCAUACUAGGUGACUCCGGCAUGGCCGUACAGGUCACAGUUGGUGACUCCGGUUAGAUGAGAUUUUGAGCUCUACAUUCAGUCGUACAGGACCAUUGUAGGGUCUCCGGUUGAUUUAUUCUUUCACCUGAUUUAUGUUAAUGCAUUCAUACUAAACUGUUGAAUUGAACAUGGCACGUUUUCUAUUGAAUAUGUUAUGAGAUUGAUGAUUGAGAUGGUUGAGAUAUAUAUAUGCUUAUAUACUAUUUUUCUGGGAAAGUAUACAGGUUUUCAAAGAGGGGUUAUAAAUGUGGAGUUAUGAAAUGUUUUGGAAAAGCUUUAUUUUCGCCCACUCACGUUUUCUGUUUUGCGCCCCUCCAGGUUCUAGUUGAGGUGUUGGUGGCCUACGAGGACUUCUUCGGCGUUCUGACAGACUAAAUAAAUGUAGGAUUCACCCGAGGGUGUUGUAAAUUAGUUAUGGUCCUACUUGACUGCACCUAGACGCUUGUGCUCUGUUUAUGUGUGUUUAGUGCACUAUAAUGCACAUAGAAUGAUAGGUUGUUAAUAACUGCAAUUAGUGGUUUUUUUUUUGUUAGUAUUUUUGUUAUAUUAUCGUUUCCGCCUGCACUUAUGGUUACGCCACGCUCACGUGACAGCCAGCAUGUCCUAAUUUUCGGGUUAGGGUGUGUCAGUUUGGUAUCAGAGCAUAGGUUGCAGUCCUGUAUAACUAAUGAGUUCUUCUAUUGAUUUUUGAUGUUUUCUGUCAGAAUUAUGCCGCCUCGUAGAGAUCCUCGCCGUGCUACUGAACCUAAUGUCCCCGAUAUAGUUCAGUUAGGGGAAGCAAUAACUCAGGCUUUUCAGGCUAGUAUCCGUCCUCCUCAGAGAACACCUGUAGAGACGAUGCAUAAUCUGAAAUUGGAAACCUUUGAGGGAAAUGAAGGUUAUGAGGGGGCAGAAAAGUGGUUGGAUCGGAUUGAGCAGACUUUUCAAGUGAUGAGGAGUCAAGGGAACCUACCUGAGAAUAGAUGGGUCGAGACUACCAUUUGGUUUUUAAGCCGAGAGGUUGCAGUUUGGUGGAGAAAUGAAACUAAUUUUCUUGCACCUGAGAUGGUACAAGAUUGGGGCAUAUUCAAGGGAAUAUUUAGGAAAAGAUUCGUUCCCCCAGAGUACAUUGAUAGUAAGAAGCAGGAGUUCACCCAAUUGAAGCAAAGGAAGAUGUCGGCAUGUGAAUACUACAGGAAGUUUACAGAUUUGUCUCGUUAUGAUCCGGAUGUGGCUGCUAAUCCAGAGGAAAUGCUUCGUCGAUUUAAGUUGGGAUCGAAGAAGAGAUGGCGAACCUUUGCUAGCGCACUUCCUUGUGCUAAUUAUCAUGAGUUUUCUGAAAUUAUGGUUCGGAUGGAGGAGUCCGAGAAACUUCCUAGUGAUAGUGAUGAAGAGGAAGAUAAGAAUGAUGGCAACCAGAGGAAUGAAGGCAAGGGUAAAGGUAUCUCCUUCCAAGGACCCCGUAAGACGCAGAAUUUCAAAAAGAGUGGAAUGAGUUCGAGUUCUUCCAGUGGUGGAUUUAGUACCACAGGUCCGAGGAGAGGAGGUGGUAGGUUUGGUAGUGGACCUAGAUUUCCUAGUCAGAGAAGUUUUAUUGGUACUGGUGGUUCUGGUCCUCCGUUAUGUAGCCGUUGUAAUUUUCGACAUCAUGGGGAAUGUAGGAGAAUCAGUGGUGCAUGCUUUACAUGUGGUCAGGUAGGACAUCGAGCUGCACAUUGUCCCCAAAGUCAGCAGAGGCCCCAGCAGCCUGUUAUGCCAGCUCCAGCACCGACUCAGCAGAACUUAAAUUCAGGCAGUUAUGGCCAGUUUGGUCGUGGUGGUGCUUAUCACUAUCAGGGUGAUGCUGCUCCUUAUGCUCCGGGACAGUAUCAAUAUUCCCAGGAUCCUUAUUUUCAGAGUGGAUAUUCUCAGGAUCAGGGAGGUUAUACUUCAUAUCCGUCUAUGCCAGCUAGCGGAUCUCAGUGGUAUUAGGGGGGUCGGCCUCAACAGAGAGGGGUUGCUGCUAGUAGUGCAGGGCCGUCUAGGCAGCCUGCCCAGGCAGGUCAAGGACGUACUCAUCAGGGGCGAGGUAAUCAGAGUGGCAGAGGUCGUGGAGGACGACAGCCAGCUCAGGGAAGUGUUAACCACAUAUCACUGCAAGAUGCUCAGAACCAUCCAGACUUGAUUAUGGGUACGUUGAAUGUUCUUGGUCAUUUUGCUAGGGUUUUGAUUGAUUGUGGUGCUACGCAUUCUGUGAUUUCUCAUACAUUUGCUCAAAUGACACAACCUCAUCUUUCGCCUCUAGGGUUUGAUUUAGAAUUUGUUAUGCCUAGAGGGGAUAAAUGUUAUGUUGAUAGUUUUUAUCCUGGGUGUCCAGUGAUGGUAGAUAAUGUAGUUAUGCCUGCUAAUCUCAUCCCGUUAGACACCGUGGAUUUUGAUGUGAUUUUAGGGGCGGAUUGGUUGCAUUAUAAUCGCGCCCAUAUAGAUUGUUACGGGAAAUCAGUUACUUUUCUUCGUCCUGGACUACCUGAGGUUACUUUUGUGGGUGAAAGAAGUGGGGUGAGGCAUGGUGUUAUUUCAGCCAUAAGGGCGAAGAAAUUGUUAUCCAAGGGUUGUCAGGGAUACUUGGCACAUGUGGUUUUGAAUGAUGUUGCUCCCAGUAGUGUGAAGGAAGUCGGAGUAGUCAGACACUAUCCUGAUGUAUUUCCAGAUGAUUUGCCUGGAUUGCCCCCAGAUAGAGAUGUGGAGUUUUCGAUUGAAUUGCUUCCAGGUACAAACCCUAUAUCAUUGACUCCUUAUAGAAUGGCACCAACGGAAUUAAGAGAGUUGAAAAUUCAAUUGCAAGAGUUAAUUGAUAAAGGUUUCAUUCAGCCUAGUUCUUCACCUUGAGGAGCUCCGGUGUUGUUUGUGAGAAAGAAGGAUGGAACUUUGAGAUUGUGUAUUGAUUACAGGCAAUUGAAUCGGGUAACGAUUAAAAACCGUUAUCCCUUGCCUCGUAUAGAUGAUUUGUUUGAUCAGCUCAAAGGUGCCUGUGUGUUUUCUAAGAUCGAUUUGAGAUCUGGGUAUUAUCAAUUAAAGAUUAAAGAUGUGGAUGUUCAUAAAACGGCUUUCAGGACUCGUUAUGGGCAUUAUGAGUUUUUGGUGAUGCCAUUUGGAUUGACUAAUGCCCCUGCAGCUUUCAUGAGAUUGAUGAAUGAAGUAUUCCAGGAAUAUUUAGACAAGUUUGUUAUUGUUUUUAUUGAUGAUAUCCUGGUAUACUCUAAGUCGAAAUCAGACCAUAUUCGACAUCUUAACUUGGUGUUAAGGAAAUUGAGGGAGCACCGGUUAUAUGCCAAGUUUAGUAAAUGUCAGUUUUGGCUGAAUCAAGUGGCAUUUUUGGGACAUGUGGUAUCAGCUCAGGGAAUUCAAGUGGAUCCUCAAAAGAUAGCAGCAGUGGAAAGUUGGGAACAACCUCGAACCGUCACUGAGGUGCGGAGUUUUCUUGGCUUGGCAGGUUAUUAUCGACGGUUUGUUCAAGACUUUUCUAUGAUUGCCUUGCCAUUAACGAAGUUAACCAGGAAGGAGGUUAAGUUUGAGUGGGAUGAUAGUUGUGAGCAAAGUUUCCAGCAGUUGAAGUAUUGCCUUACUCAUGCACCUGUGUUAAUACUUCAUGAUGAUAAUGGUAACUUCGAGAUCUACAGUGAUGCUUCUUUGAAUGGUUUAGGUUGUGUUUUGAUGCAGCAUAGUAAAGUGAUUGCCUAUGCUUCUAGGCAGUUGAAGACUCAUGAAAAGAACUAUCAUACUCACGAUCUUGAGUUGGCAGCUAUUGUGUUUGCUUUGAAGAUUUGGAGACACUAUCUCUAUGGUGAGAAAUGUAAGAUCUUUACAGAUCAUAAAAGUCUUCAGUACCUUUUCACGCAGCAUGAUCUUAAUCUUCGUCAGAGAAGAUGGUUAGAAUUGUUAAGUGAUUAUGAUUGCACGAUUGAGUACCAUCCGGGUCGUGCAAAUGUGGUAGCUGAUGCUCUGAGUAGGAAACCUCAAGGGCGACUUAAUGCUUUGUAUGCCAGCCGUGUUUCUCUUCUUGCAGAGUUAAGAUCUAUUGGAGUAGAGUUAGAAUUGGAAGAGCAAAGUGAAGCUUUUCUUUCCAAUUUUCAAGUCAAGCCAAUUUUAAUUGAUCGGGUGCUUGCAGCUCAAUCGUGGGAUGAAGAAAUCCAAGAAUUGGUCAGUUUAAGAAAGGAAGGGAAAAAGAAAGAUCUCAGGAUCCGAGGAUCAGAUGGUAUGCUUAUGCAAGAGAACAAGAUGUAUGUGCCAAAUAAUGAGGAACUAAAGAAAGAAAUUUUGGAUGAAGCACAUUGUUCGGCUUAUGCUAUGCACCCAGGGGGAACUAAAAUGUAUCAUACCAUUCGACCAUUUUACUAUUGGCCGGGUACGAAGAGGGAAAUUGCAGAGUAUGUAAGUAGGUGUAUUGUUUGCCAGCAGGUUAAGGCUGAAAGAAAGAAGUCGUUUGGAAGAUUGCAACCAUUUCCCGUUCCCCAGUGGAAAUGGGAGAAUAUAACGAUGGAUUUUGUGUAUAAGCUGCCUAGUACACAAAAUGGUUUUGAUGGCAUUUGGGUGGUUGUAGAUCGACUUACCAAAUUAGCACAUUUUAUUCCAGUAAGGGAGAAGUACCCUUUAAAUAAGUUGGCUAAGUUAUUCACAUCGAAGGUUGUAAAGUAUCAUGGUGUCCCAGUGAAUAUUAUUUCUGAUCGAGAUCCAAGAUUUACUUCUAAGUUUUGGACAGCUUUUCAAGAAGCUUUGGGUACUAGAUUGCUUUACAGUACAGCUUAUCAUCCACAGACAGAUGGUCAGUCAGAGAGAACUAUUCAGACACUCGAGGAUAUGUUGAGAUCCUCUGUGAUGCAAUUUGGUGAUUCUUGGCAUGAUCGCUUGGAUUUGAUGGAGUUUGCCUACAAUAAUAGUUUUCAUUCGAGUAUUGGAAUGUCUCCAUUUGAAGCGCUUUAUGGUAAAGCUUGUCGUACGCCAUUAUGUUGGUCAGAGGUCGGUGAAAGAAUACUCGAGGGCCCAGAGAUUGUGGAUGAGACUACUCAGAAUAUUCAGGUAAUUAAGUCUAACCUGAAAGUGACCCAAGAUAGGCAAAAGAGCCUAGCAGAUCGACAUACCACGGAUAGAAUGUAUAAUGUGGGCGACUAUGUAUUUCUGAAAUUAUCGCCUUGGAGAGGGGUGGUUCGUUUUGGAAAGAAAGGAAAGCUAAGUCCCAGGUACAUUGGACCUUAUGAGAUCACUGAGAGGAUUGGUGAAGUUGCCUAUAGGUUGGAGCUGCCUCCAGAGUUGUCUAAGGUACAUAAUGUGUUCCAUGUCUCGAUGCUUCGGCAUUAUGUUUCAGAUCCUUCACAUGUGAUUCCUCCUCAACCUUUGGAAAUUAAUCCGGAUUUGACGUAUGAUGAGGAACCAGUGACUAUACUGGAUUGGAAAGACAAGACUCUAAGGAAUAAGACAGUGAGCUUGGUAAAAGUAUUGUGGAGGAACCAUACAGCGGAAGAAGCUACAUGGGAGACAGAAGAACGGAUGAGGGAUAUGUAUCCGAGGCUAUUUUAUGAGUAUUGAUGGUGUGGUUGGUGGCUGGAAUUUCGGGGACGAAAUUCUAUAAGGAGGGGAGAUUGUCACGGCCCGUCCCGGAAUUUUUAAUUCCGAGGACGUGAAAUUACAAAAGUGACCUUAAACGGGAUUAAGGUGCGUAAAUUCGACAUUUAGUUUUACCUAAAGUUCCUAAACUAUUGUUAAUUAGAUUAUUACCUAGUGUUAGGAACUUAAACUAAGACUUGGAUUUACAAUUGUAUGUUUUAAUUUGGUUAGUUAGAGGUUUAGGUAGGGCCUCAUGCCCUGAUUCCCUCCCCAUUUCCCGUAUUCACUCUCUCUCUCUUCCUCAGACCUUCUCUCUCUCUCUCUCUCUCUCUCUCUCACCCUCUCGAACACACGGGCAACCACCAAAACCACCUAAAAUCAACACCAACGCCGGAUUUAAAACCACCAUUGCACUCCUGAGGACUCCACGAUCACGUAGGUACCAGUUUAAGGUGAGUUUCAUUUCGAAAACCCUAGUUUCUAAAGACACCGUGAUUAUGUACUGUUCAUGAUCUUUGAAGUGGUUGUGUUUUAGGCCAAACUAAGAUCACAGUGAGCUUUAGGAAGUCCCAAGGAAGCUCGGAGUGGGUUGUUUGGAAGUUUUGGACGUCGGAAUCACUUGGUUCGACGUUUAGCCAAUUUCUCGAAAUUUUGGAAGGUAUGAUUCCGUGGUUUUUAGUGUUUAAAACCCUUCCAACGUGAUUGUACAUAUUAAAUGCUUCAAUUUGGUAUAAAAUUCGAGAAAAAUGGACGAAAAACGAGUGAGAAUAGUUAAAUAGAAAUUUUCCCAGUUUUCUGGUGACCGGAGUUCGGCGAGAGUCCAUCGGAGAAGAAACCGGAAUAUUCCGUUAGUUCUAACGGAAUAUUCCUGACGCCGUUAACGGAACUGUUAGGUUUUAACGGAAUAUUCUCGGAAUAUUCCUGACGCCGUCAGUGUGCAACGCACGUGGCUGCGUGUGGGGGGCGCGUAGGUCCGUGCCAUUUCAGGCGCGUGGGGGCGCGUGAAGGGUCCAAAAAUUAUUUUAAAAAUAUGGGGAUGAUCCUGAGGUUGUGUAGGUCACCGUGGUAUAUUCAUAUACCCAAUUUGAGCAACAUAUGAGGAGUUAUUAGCUAAGAGUUGGGUUAUGCGUUAAAUAACGUUAUUUCGGGUACUUCUUGUAUAGGUGAGACUUAUAGCGAGGAGGAGCACAUCCAGAGGCGUCAAGGGGGUUACGACCCGGCAACAUACCAGUGAGUGGGCAUUGCUUUCUAUAUAUAUACCUAUAUACCCGAUUUCCCCAGAAAUCAAUUUAAAUGAAAAGUAUGUUGAAUUGUGAUAUGGAAUAUAGUUUGGGUUGCCAUGCUUAGAAUAUCAUGAAUAUUAUGAAUUGUUGUAUGAUGCAUAUAUGUGAAAUGGUGCGGUGAACGCACAGGUGAGUAUCAGGUGAGUAUUAUUACUGUUAUGAUGAUGUUGAGAUAUGUUGAGCUCAUAAACUGCACCUUGGUAUUAGUGCUUAUAUUAUUCACCCUGCAUCGUAUGCUCACCUUGGAUCCAAGUAGAUGCUAGUCGUACAGACCACCGGGGGUGGUUCCGACAUGCCAGUCGUACAGACCAUUAGAGGGGUUCCGACUGGUAGGUGACCUUAGAUUAUGUGCACAAAUGAUUGAUGAGAAAAGCACUAGAGCAUAUUAUUACACCAUUAAGUCGUACAGAUUACAUUAGGUAAUUCCGACUUAUGUGCAGUGUAGUGCCGUACAGGUCAUACUAGGUGACUCCGGCAUGGCCGUACAGGUCACAGUUGGUGACUCCGGUUAGAUGAGAUUUUGAGCUCUACAUUCAGUCGUACAGGACCAUUGUAGGGUCUCCGGUUGAUUUAUUCUUUCACCUGAUUUAUGUUAAUGCAUUCAUACUAAACU
This 11822-nucleotide long non-coding RNA is filed under the name Malus domestica (apple). Its description in RNAcentral is "long non-coding RNA (MDOM_LNC005246)". Lineage: Eukaryota; Viridiplantae; Streptophyta; Magnoliopsida; Rosales; Rosaceae. The record is from RNAcentral.